This 373-nucleotide ribosomal RNA is filed under the name uncultured organism. RNAcentral describes it as "bacterial SSU rRNA". It matches the Rfam family "Bacterial small subunit ribosomal RNA", at positions 526 to 896 of the family's 1533-position model. The record is from RNAcentral.
CGGGGGGAGCAAGCGUUGUUCGGAUUUACUGGGCGUAAAGGGCGCGUAGGCGGCACCGCGAGUCGACUGUGAAAUCUCCGGGCUUAACUCGGAAAGGUCAGCCGAUACUGCGGGGCUAGAGUGCAGAAGGGGCAACUGGAAUUCUCGGUGUAGCGGUGAAAUGCGUAGAUAUCGAGAGGAACACCUGCGGCGAAGGCGGGUUGCUGGGCUGACACUGACGCUGAUGCGCGAAAGCUAGGGGAGCGAACGGGAUUAGAUACCCCGGUAGUCCUAGCCUUAAACGAUGAAUGCUUGGUGUCUGGGGUUUUAUAGUCCCCGGGUGCCGUCGCUAACGCUUUAAGCAUUCCGCCUGGGGAGUACGGUCGCAAGACUG